RNAcentral lists this ribosomal RNA (472 nucleotides) under uncultured bacterium. Its description in RNAcentral is "partial 16S ribosomal RNA". It matches the Rfam family "Bacterial small subunit ribosomal RNA", at positions 30 to 507 of the family's 1533-position model. The record is from RNAcentral.
AUUGAACGCUGGCGGCAGGCCUAACACAUGCAAGUCGAGCGGGGACUUCGGUCCUAGCGGCGAACGGGUGAGUAAUGCUUGGGAAUCUGCCCAGUAGUGGGGGAUAACGUCCCGAAAGGGACGCUAAUACCGCAUACGUCCUACGGGAGAAAGAGGGGGAUCUUCGGACCUCUCGCUAUUGGAUGAGCCCAAGUCGGAUUAGCUAGUUGGUAGGGUAAUGGCCUACCAAGGCGACGAUCCGUAGCUGGUCUGAGAGGAUGAUCAGCCACACUGGAACUGAGACACGGUCCAGACUCCUACGGGAGGCAGCAGCGGGGAAUAUUGGACAAUGGGCGAAAGCCUGAUCCAGCCAUGCCGCGUGUGUGAAGAAGGCCUUCGGGUUGUAAAGCACUUUAAGCGGGGAGGAAGGUUCGCGGCCUAAUACGUCGCGGAAUUGACGUUACCCGCAGAAUAAGCACCGGCUAACUCUGUG